CCUAGAAGCGCUCCCGGGACUUUGUCGGCCAGCGUCUGCGCUCCCCGAGAGUUCUGCUUCUUCUGCCCGCCGCGGAUUAGCCCGACGUGACGAAUUACUUGCGCCUGCCAGGCCGUCCUGCCCGCUUCGCCCUGCUCCGUGGUUCUUGAGCUCUCUCGGCCACCGUACUGCCCCGCUCGAGCCACGCCCUUCCCGCGUUAAAGGAGCCCUGCUGGCCGCCUCUGCCCGGGAUCCCCGCCUCUGACUCCUCUCCCUAACGAAAUCCUGAAAGUCCCCCGAGGUUAGAGUUUUUCUGUGCCAUCUCCGAGCUCCCGGGGUCGCCCCGUUUCCCAACGGGAGACGCGGACGUGCUCCCCGCGCAUGCGCGCUCCCCUCGUGGUCUUUGCAAUCCCUUUAGCUAAACGUCUUCUAGAUAGCGCUGCAGACCUGGACUCGAGCUGGCGCCCCCUGCCCUGGAGAGGCCGAGAGGGGCUGUUAACCCCCUCUACCGGCUUGGGGGCCAUGGCCCGGAGAAGGGACCCCCGCUCUGAGCCCCGGUGCCCGCCCCCUUCCCAAGCCCGCGUUGUGGCGGUGCUGCUGCUCCUCUCCUUGGUGCCAGCUUGGGGAGAGCCGGCGAGCUCGCGAAUGCAGCGCCUGGCCCCGGAGCGCGCGGUCCGAGGUGGUAGCGACUUCAGCCAGCCGACACCUGUGCUGGGCUGUUCGCCACGUUGCCUGCGCCUCCGCUUCCCUCUAGGUCUCUCCCCGGCCCCUCUCUGCGCCCCCACCCACCCCCGCAGUGGGCAGGCCUCCCCCGUUGGACUGGCAGAGUCGGGGUUGUCUUGUUCGCGCUGUGACUUAAGCGCAAGGCUCUCCCAGCGCCCAAGGGGCCUUCGUUGUGAGGCCAGGCACAGGGGCCAGCAGGAACCCGGGCUUCCGCUCGCCCAGCCCAGCGCUACAGUUCUGGGAAUGUGUCGGCCCAGGCUUCCAGGCCAGGGACAAAGCGAACGUAUUGCUUAAGUGCCCCACCGAAGAGACAGAUUUGUGGGGCUGAAACUUACAUAAUCAAUGAGUCUUUGUUAAAAACAUUUAUUGGGAAAGGCAGAGUUGCAGAGAGGAGAGACAGAGAGAGGUCUUCCAUCCACUGGUCCACUCUCCAAAUGACCACAACAGCUUGGCCUGGGCUAGGCCGAAACCACAAACCAGAAGCUUCUUCCGGGUCUCCCACGUGGGUGCAGGGGCCCAAGGACCUGGGCCAUCUUCCACUGCUUUCCCAGGCCACAGCAGAGAGCUGGAUGUGAAGAGGAGCAGCCGGGACUCGAACCGGUGCCCACAUGGGAUGCCGGCGCUGCAGGUGUCACCGCCCGAUCUGUUGCAGCGUGAUGCCUCUCAGACAGGGACCCGGGCCAGGGCCCCAGAGGAGCUGGGUUCCCUGCUGCGUGCCUGUUGAGUGACUGGGAAACCACCGGAGAGUCCACUCUGCCCUCCACUAGGGGGCACCCAACACCGACCAGCGGCUGAGGCCCCAAACGCCAGGGUCCUUGGAAGGAGGACUGGGGGGUCCUUGCUGAGUGGAGGAAGGAGGAGUCUGGGGUCCUGAGGGCAGCGGGCUCCGCAGGAGGAGUCUGGGAGCGGCCCCAGGAUUGGCUGGAAGCAGAGCUGGCCGGGGCAGUGGUUUGGCUUGGCCUGAGUCCGUGGGAAAGAAGUGCACAGAGCAGGGAUUGUUCCGCAGGGUCUCCCCCUCCUCGGCACCCCCUGCGUGUGCUUGGCAGCCUCGGUUCUUCCCAGGCUCUGGAGACCUGGGGGCGUUGCCCGCGGCCCCUCCCCAGGGGACUCACAGCUGCCUGGCCUCAGGACCUGGGAAAAGUGCCCCAAGGGGGUUGGAAGCCUGGCCGGGGGUCAGAGCAAAGCAGAUGAGGAGCCACAGGGACCUCGGCGGAGCCCCAGGCUCGCUCAGGGCCUGCGGGGAGCCCGCAGUCGCCACUGCCAGCCAGAGACCCUCUGCAGCAGCGACCCUGGCCGUGCAGCCUGGCGAGCGGCGCGCGUCCUGGCUGAGCGCGGACACGCCCGAGGCCCUGCUUCCUGCCCUUCGUCCAUGCCUGUUUUUGCCAGCUGCUGAGCUGCCCGUCCUCAUUUGUCUCUCUGGCUGCCUGAGGGCAGAGGUCUGUCUGUGUGGCCUCAGCGGGAGGAGAGCCUCCGGCCAAGGUGCUAGCCCAGGGACGGCACAACCCAUGCUGAUAAGGAACCAGACUGCGCAGCCGGAGACGGAGGUCCCUGUGCGGGCAGGGGCUGCACCUGCUCCCUGCUGUGGGCCCAGUACUUACUAAGUCUCUCUAUGCGCCCAGGGGACGAAUGUGUCAGAGCUGACGGGCACGGUCUGCAGGGGCCCAGCUUCCUGGGUCCCAGCCAGGCUGGGCACCGACUCAGCCAGCUCAGCAGGGACUUGUGGGCGCCAGUCUUCUCAGUCACAGGGGUAUUGGACACCGCACAACGAUGCCACAUUUAAGAAAAAAUAAACUUUUAUUUAUUUUUCA
Oryctolagus cuniculus (rabbit) is the source of this 2510-nucleotide long non-coding RNA. RefSeq lists it as uncharacterized. The record is from RefSeq and is a predicted model, not a curated record. Lineage: Eukaryota; Metazoa; Chordata; Mammalia; Lagomorpha; Leporidae.